RNAcentral lists this small RNA (1308 nucleotides) under uncultured cyanobacterium. RNAcentral describes it as "bacterial SSU rRNA". The stretch from base 1 to 315 matches the Rfam family "Bacterial small subunit ribosomal RNA", at positions 1221 to 1533 of the family's 1533-position model. Lineage: Bacteria; Bacillati; Cyanobacteriota. The record is from RNAcentral.
CGUACUACAAUGCUACGGACAAAGGGUUGCAAACUCGCGAGAGCUAGCUAAUCCCAUAAACCGUGGCUCAGUUCAGAUCGUAGGCUGCAACUCGCCUACGUGAAGGAGGAAUCGCUAGUAAUCGCAGGUCAGCAUACUGCGGUGAAUACGUUCCCGGGCCUUGUACACACCGCCCGUCACACCAUGGAAGUUGGCCACGCCCGAAGUCGUUACUCCAACCCGCAAGGGAGGAGGAUGCCGAAGGUGGGGCUGAUGACUGGGGUGAAGUCGUAACAAGGUAGCCGUACCGGAAGGUGCGGCUGGAUCACCUCCUAACAGGGAGACAAUAACUGAUUUUGAUGUCUGACUAAUUUAAUGUUAGACCGAAAUCCUGUCAUCUCUAAGGUCGAUCGGUACCUCAGGGUAAGGCUUAAAAGGUUAGCUGUUAAAGGCAAGCUUGUUUAAGUCGUUACCAUCAGUUCCUAAACUUUGUCUAGGUCACACCCCACGGUGAGUGUGCAGUUGAAUCCAGUAAUGGGUCAAAAGCAUGCGAAUUAAAAGACAGACUCCUGGGCCAUUAGCUCAGGUGGUUAGAGCGCACCCCUGAUAAGGGUGAGGCCCCUGGUUCAAGUCCAGGAUGGCCCAUUCACCGCCUGCACAGCAGGCAGGACUUGAAGAUUGGGGGUUUAGCUCAGUUGGUAGAGCGCCUGCUUUGCAAGCAGGAUGUCAGCGGUUCGAGUCCGCUAACCUCCACUGACGAACCUCCCUGAAAUAGGAGGUGUCCAGGUAAGUUGUGAUCGAGACGUUAGUUUGCUAGAGAUUCUAGCUUCUUUUCAUUUUAGCAAUGGCAAUUUUAUUGGCAUUGAACUUGAAAGGACGCUGGACUCCUGAUCUGAGCGAAAGCUUAGGUUGGAUGUUUAGCAGAACCUUGACAACUGCAUAGAAAAGUCUGGAAAUAAAGCAUCUCAUGGAUGCCCAGAUAUUAAGAGAAGCCAAGCCGCGAAAGCGACUCGGCCAAUUUUGAUGUUUGGGGAAAUUCUAUGAUUGUAAGAGCCGAGAGCUUUCAGUUUUCUUCCAAACCUGCCGAAGGCACGGGAGUUUGAUUGGGCUAUUCAAACCAGCGAGAGUCCCCACGGACAGGAGCAAGGUGAAGGUCCGAGAAUAGGUUUCAACAACCUGAAGAACUGGGAGUUAUAAAUUGGUCAAGCUACAAAGGGCUCACGGUGGAUACCUUGGCACACAGAGGCGAUGAAGGACGUAGUUACCUGCGAUAAGUCUCGGGGAGCUGGAAACACGCUUUGAUCCGGGAAUUUCCGAAUGGGGCAACCC